GCUCAGGACGAACGCUGGCGGCGUGCCUAAUACAUGCAAGUAGAACGCUGAGGACUGGUGCUUGCACUGGUCUAAGGAGUUGCGAACGGGUGAGUAACGCGUAGGUAACCUACCUCAUAGCGGGGGAUAACUAUUGGAAACGAUAGCUAAUACCGCAUGACAAUAGGGUACACAUGUACCCUAUUUAAAAGGGGCAACUGCUUCACUAUGAGAUGGACCUGCGUUGUAUUAGCUAGUUGGUAAGGUAACGGCUUACCAAGGCGACGAUACAUAGCCGACCUGAGAGGGUGAUCGGCCACACUGGGACUGAGACACGGCCCAGACUCCUACGGGAGGCAGCAGUAGGGAAUCUUCGGCAAUGGGGGGAACCCUGACCGAGCAACGCCGCGUGAGUGAAGAAGGUUUUCGGAUCGUAAAGCUCUGUUGUUAGAGAAGAACGGUAAUGGGAGUGGAAA
Molecule: ribosomal RNA, 455 nt
Filed under: Streptococcus uberis
Lineage: Bacteria; Bacillati; Bacillota; Bacilli; Lactobacillales; Streptococcaceae
Description: bacterial SSU rRNA
Rfam family: Bacterial small subunit ribosomal RNA
Source: RNAcentral